This 253-nucleotide ribosomal RNA is filed under the name uncultured bacterium. Its description in RNAcentral is "partial 16S ribosomal RNA". It matches the Rfam family "Bacterial small subunit ribosomal RNA", at positions 524 to 776 of the family's 1533-position model. The record is from RNAcentral.
UACGUAGGGUGCGAGCGUUAAUCGGAAUUACUGGGCGUAAAGCGUGCGCAGGCGGUGAUGUAAGACAGGUGUGAAAUCCCCGGGCUUAACCUGGGAACUGCAUUUGUGACUGCAUCGCUGGAGUGCGGCAGAGGGGGAUGGAAUUCCGCGUGUAGCAGUGAAAUGCGUAGAUAUCUGGAGGAACACCGGUGGCGAAGGCGGCAUCCUGGACCGAGAUUGACGCUGAGGCGCGAAAGCCAGGGGAGCAAACGGG